CACGGAGUUAGCCGAUGCUUUUUCUUCGGAUACACGCAGUCCGGGACACGUCCCGGGUUUUGUUCUCCGACAAAAGAGGUUUACAACCCAUAGGGCCGUCUUCCCUCACGCGGCUUGGCUGGUUCAGGACCUCUCCCAUUGACCAAUAUUCCUCACUGCUGCCUCCCGUAGGAGUCUGGUCCGUGUCUCAGUACCAGUGUGGGGGACCUUCCUCUCAGAACCCCUACGCAUCGUCGCCACGGUGGGCCGUUACCCCGCCGUCAAGCUAAUGCGCCGCAUGCCCAUCCUCUUCCGAUGAAUCUUUCCUCGAUCUCGGAUGCCCGAAACCGAUAUACGCGGGAUUAGCCUCCCUUUCGGAAGGUUGUCCCCCUGAAGAGGGCAGGUUGCAUACGUGUUACUCACCCGUGCGCCGGUCGCCGGCAAGGAAAGCAAGCUUCCCUCCCGAUGCCCCUCGACUUGCAUGUGUUAAGCCUGCCGCUAGCGUUCAUCCUGAGCCAGGAUCAAACUCU
RNAcentral lists this ribosomal RNA (509 nucleotides) under uncultured Bacteroidales bacterium. RNAcentral describes it as "partial 16S ribosomal RNA". The record is from RNAcentral. Lineage: Bacteria; Pseudomonadati; Bacteroidota; Bacteroidia; Bacteroidales.